Long non-coding RNA from Telopea speciosissima, 885 nucleotides. RefSeq lists it as uncharacterized. NCBI's taxonomy places the organism in Eukaryota, Viridiplantae, Streptophyta, Magnoliopsida, Proteales, Proteaceae. The transcript is spliced from 2 exons. The record is from RefSeq and is a predicted model, not a curated record.
CAUGAAUGGUUUGGUAUUGGAAGUAGGAUCAUUGUCACAAGUAGAAACAAGGUCAUAUUAAUUGCUCAAAAACCAGAUGGGAUUUAUGAGCCCAAGGACAUGGGGGGAUCAUGAAUGGUUUGGUAUUGGAAGUAGGAUCAUUGUCACAAGUAGAAACAAGGUCAUAUUAAUUGCUCAAAAACCAGAUGGGAUUUAUGAGCCCAAGGACAUGGGCUUAUAUAAAUCUCUUCGACUUUUUAGCCGUCAUGAUUUUAGAGAUUGGACCAACCUCCAUAAGCUUAUUUGGAACAGUCAAAAGCUAUAGUAGAAAUUAACUAUUGGAGGACUACCCUUGGCUCUUCAAGUUGUAGGUUCAUCUUUAUUUUGCGUGGAAAAGCAAGAAUGGCAAUACACAUUGGAGAAGUUGCAAGAUGCUCCUAAUAAUGAGGUCUUGCAAAGAUUGAGAAUAAGUUAUGAAAGACUAGAUUAUGAGGAGAAACAGAUAUUUCUUGAUACUGCAUGUUUUUUUAUUAGAACGCCUAAACAUGAUGCAUGUUACAUAUAUGGGAAGGAUGUAAAUUUUAUCCUAAAGUAGGACUUGAUGUUCUUUAGCUAAGGUCUUUGAUAACAAUUGAUGAACAUGGAUAUUUGAGGAUGCAUGAUCAGCUCCGGGAUCUUGGAAGGGAAAUCGUUCGUAAAGAAAUUUUUAAUGAGCCAUGGGAACGUAGUAGGAUAUGGUCUCAAAGGGAAGCAUUGGAAGUAUUGGCUAUCAAGAUGGGAAAAAGAAAAAUUGAAGCACUCAGUAUUAGCUUUGAAGGUAGAGCAAGGAGCAAAUAUUUGGAGAAUGAAGAAUUUGCUGAAAUGACUAAACUAAGGUUACUUCAAGUCGAUUAUGCACGUUUUACU